Long non-coding RNA from Neofelis nebulosa (Clouded leopard), 861 nucleotides. RefSeq lists it as uncharacterized. The record is from RefSeq and is a predicted model, not a curated record. Lineage: Eukaryota; Metazoa; Chordata; Mammalia; Carnivora; Felidae. The transcript is spliced from 3 exons.
GGGGCAAAAAGCUCUCUGGGCUCAAACCCACUUCCCCAGGGUAGCGGUCGAUGGUUUCACUUUCUGGUCUGUUCCUUCCCCAGCUUUCCCCCAGCUUGGGACCUGGCCAGUUCCCAGGCCUGAGGAACUCCUGCCGGCGUUGCUCAGCUCCCUUCUCCUCUCCUCCCUUCCCCCUCUCCCUUCUAGCCUCUUCUUUACCUCCCCUCUCCUCUAUUUUCUCUCCUCUCCCUUCCCCUCCUCUGUCGCCCCCUUCGUCCUCUCCUCUCCCUCCUCCUCCUUUUCUCUCCACCCCUCAUCCCUCCCACCUUUCCCACCCCCUGCCCCUCCUUACCUUCCUUCCCACCCUGGAGGUUGUGAAACUUCCUUUGCCCCCUGCUUCAUAAGGUCAAGAAGACAAGGCUUGAAGUGUACUUUUUCAUCACACCUGAGUAUGACUCAACCCUUCAAAGCUUCACAACCAGCCGCCGCUCUCCUCAUUGAGGAUAUACGGAUAUCGAAUAUCUUUUUCCGGAAGUGACUCCCCCACCCUUGUGGAAAUCUGCAAAAGGGGGGGCCUCCCCCCCAGAAAACAGGGAAAAGACGACAGAUUGCCCUUCAAGUCCCUGGGGUUCCCAGUGCCGUUGAGCGGUUCUGGUUUCGUCUGUGAGUUUUGGGCUCUUGUCUCCGCUGAGCCACUGGAGCAUGACCGCUUCGGAGCCUACGGGUGGCUGUGUAUCUGUGCAGAUGAGGAAACUGAAACUCAGAAGUCGGUGAUUCGCUUAAAGUUAUAUAUACCAAGCAAGUGGGCUCUCUCCUAAGCAGAUUUCUCUCUAGCCCAAGGAAGAAUUUUUUUUUUUUUUUUAACAUUUAUUUAUCUUUGAG